This 221-nucleotide ribosomal RNA is filed under the name uncultured bacterium. Its description in RNAcentral is "partial 16S ribosomal RNA". It matches the Rfam family "Bacterial small subunit ribosomal RNA", at positions 524 to 744 of the family's 1533-position model. The record is from RNAcentral.
UACGUAGGGUGCAAGCGUUGUCCGGAAUUAUUGGGCGUAAAGAGCUCGUAGGCGGUUUGUCGCGUCUGCUGUGAAAACGCGGGGCUCAACUCCGCGCCUGCAGUGGGUACGGGCAGACUAGAGUGCAGUAGGGGAGACUGGAAUUCCUGGUGUAGCGGUGAAAUGCGCAGAUAUCAGGAGGAACACCGGUGGCGAAGGCGGGUCUCUGGGCCAUAACUGAC